CCUACGGGAGGCCGCAGUGAGGAAUAUUGGUCAAUGGACGAGAGUCUGAACCAGCCAAGUAGCGUGAAGGAUGACUGCCCUAUGGGUUGUAAACUUCUUUUAUAUGGGAAUAAAACGUUCAACGUGUGGGAUUUUGUAUGUACCAUAUGAAUAAGGAUCGGCUAACUACGUGCCAGCAGCCGCGGUAAUACGGAGGAUCCGAGCGUUAUCCGGAUUUAUUGGGUUUAAAGGGAGCGUAGGUGGAUUGUUAAGUCUGUUGUGAAAGUUUGCGGCUCAACCGUAAAAUUGCAGUUGAAACUGGCAGUCUUGAGUACAGUAGAGGUGGGCGGAAUUCGUGGUGUAGCGGUGAAAUGCUUAGAUAUCACGAAGAACUCCGAUUGCGAAGGCAGUUCACUGGACUGCAACUGACACUGAGGCUCGAAAGUGUGGGUAUCAAACAGGAUUAGAUACCCCUGUAGUC
Molecule: ribosomal RNA, 460 nt
Filed under: uncultured bacterium
Lineage: Bacteria
Description: partial 16S ribosomal RNA
Rfam family: Bacterial small subunit ribosomal RNA
Source: RNAcentral